GUUGAGGUUCAUUGGCGCAUAUAUUUUCUUUUAUCGCUUUUUUGAGCAUGCUUUUGCCAACCAUAAUAUUUCUAGAUAAGUGUUUCAUGAUUUUUUUUUUCUUUUUUUCUUUGAAUUUUCUUCAUCUUUUUGCACUUAUCUAAGGUUUGUCGGUGUCCCCAAAUUUUGAUGAAACCCCAAACUUAGGCUUUUCAGUAGCUUCGGGGUAAACAACACUUAUCU
RNAcentral lists this long non-coding RNA (222 nucleotides) under Lathyrus oleraceus (garden pea). RNAcentral's name for it is "Pisum sativum (pea) long non-coding RNA (PSAT_LNC000073)". The record is from RNAcentral. Lineage: Eukaryota; Viridiplantae; Streptophyta; Magnoliopsida; Fabales; Fabaceae.